Molecule: transfer RNA, 73 nt
Filed under: Mus musculus (house mouse)
Lineage: Eukaryota; Metazoa; Chordata; Mammalia; Rodentia; Muridae
Description: tRNA-Ser
Source: RNAcentral
GGAGAGAUGGCUCAGUGGUUAAGAGCACUGACUGCUCUUCCAGAGGUCCUGAGUUCAAUUCCCAGCAACUAUG